GGACAGAAAGACCCUAUGAAGCUUUACUGUAACUUGAGAUUGAAAUUGGACUUUAUUUGCGCAGUAUAGGUGGGAGGCUUUGAAGAUAUUCUUGAGGGAAUAUUGGAGCCAUCAGUGAGAUACCACUCUUGUAAUGUUAGAUUUCUAACUUUGUAUCAUUAUCUGGUCAAAGAACAGUUUCAGGCGGGCAGUUUGACUGGGGCGGUCGCCUCCUAAACGGUAACGGAGGCGCACAAAGGUUUCCUCUGAACGGGUAGAAAUCGUAUCUAGAGUGUAAAGGCAAAAGGAAGCUUGACUGUGAGACCUACAAGUCGAGCAGGGACGAAAGUCGGUCUUAGUGAUCUGACGGUGCUGAGUGGAAAGGCCGUCACUCAACGGAUAAAAGUUACUCUAGGGAUAACAGGCUGA
This 408-nucleotide ribosomal RNA is filed under the name uncultured organism. RNAcentral describes it as "bacterial LSU rRNA". It matches the Rfam family "Bacterial large subunit ribosomal RNA", at positions 2078 to 2485 of the family's 2925-position model. The record is from RNAcentral.